GCGGGGUGAGGUAGUAGGUUGUGUGGUUUCCGGGCAGUGAUGUCGCCCCUCGGAAGAUAACUAUACAACCUACUGCCUUCCCUGA
Molecule: microRNA precursor, 85 nt
Organism: Fukomys damarensis (Damara mole-rat)
Lineage: Eukaryota; Metazoa; Chordata; Mammalia; Rodentia; Bathyergidae
Source: Ensembl